UGCAACUCGACUACAUGAAGCUGGAAUCGCUAGUAAUCGCGAAUCAGAAUGUCGCGGUGAAUACGUUCCCGGGUCUUGUACACACCGCCCGUCACACCAUGGGAGUUGGGAAUGCCCGAAGCCGGUGACCUAACCGAAAGGGAGGAGCCCGUCGAAGGCAGGCUUGAUAACUGGGGUGAAGUCGUAACAAGGUAAC
Molecule: ribosomal RNA, 196 nt
Filed under: uncultured bacterium
Lineage: Bacteria
Description: partial 16S ribosomal RNA
Rfam family: Bacterial small subunit ribosomal RNA
Source: RNAcentral